Non-coding RNA from Apaloderma vittatum (bar-tailed trogon), 335 nucleotides. NCBI's taxonomy places the organism in Eukaryota, Metazoa, Chordata, Aves, Trogoniformes, Trogonidae. The record is from the annotation of a RefSeq genome assembly.
AUGCACCUCAGACAUCUCAUCCUCCCUGUCUUCCUGGGGCAACUGCUGGGUACCAUGGGGCAAGUCACUGUCACUCAGCAAGAAGCACAAGUCACGAUGAAACAGGGUAACACCUUCCAAAUAACCUGCACAUACCAGAGCUCCUACCCUCCAGGCUUGCUCUGGUACCAGCUGAAGAAAGGCCACAGAUCUCAUUUCAGGCAGUAGCUGGCUCCAAGCCGAGCGGCCGUUUCACCACGUUUCUGAACACCACGGGGAAAUACAGCCUCCUGCAGCUGCAGGAAGCCCAGCUCUCUGACAGCGCCUUGUACCUCUGUGCUGUGCAAGACACGCUG